This is a small nuclear RNA of Sphaerobolus stellatus SS14, 117 nucleotides long. It matches the Rfam family "U5 spliceosomal RNA". From Rfam's summary of the family: U5 RNA is a component of both types of known spliceosome. The precise function of this molecule is unknown, though it is known that the 5' loop is required for splice site selection and p220 binding, and that both the 3' stem-loop and the Sm site are important for Sm protein binding and cap methylation. The record is from Rfam. Lineage: Eukaryota; Fungi; Basidiomycota; Agaricomycetes; Geastrales; Sphaerobolaceae.
AGCGGUUGGGAGUCUUACAAAUCGAACUUCCCUCUCGCCUUUUACUAGAGGAAACCGUGCAAGGCUCCUACACCGACCGCAUUACCUAUUUUUCGAACGCUCAGUUCUUCCUGAGAU